GAUGAACGCUGGCGGCGUGCUUAACACAUGCAAGUCGAACGAAGCUGCCUGGAGGAAGUUUUCGGAUGGAAUUUAGGUAGACUUAGUGGCGGACGGGUGAGUAACGCGUGGAUAACCUGCCUUAUACAGGGGGAUAACGGAGAGAAAUCUCCGCUAACACCGCAUAAGACCACAGCACCGCAUGGUGCAGGGGUAAAAUAUUUAUAGGUAUAAGAUGGAUCCGCGUCCGAUUAGCUAGUUGGUGGGGUAAAGGCCCACCAAGGCGACGAUCGGUAGCCGGCCUGAGAGGGUGAACGGCCACAUUGGGACUGAGACACGGCCCAAACUCCUACGGGAGGCAGCAGUGGGGAAUAUUGGACAAUGGGGGAAACCCUGAUCCAGCGACGCCGCGUGAGUGAAGAAGUAUUUCGGUAUGUAAAGCUCUAUCAGCAGGGAAGAAAAUGACGGUACCUGACUAAGAAGCCCCGGCUAACUACGUGCCAGCAGCCGCGGUAAUACGUAGGGGGCAAGCGUUAUCCGGAUUUACUGGGUGUAAAGGGAGCGCAGACGGCAAUGCAAGUCUGAAGUGAAAGGCGUGGGCUCAACCCAUGAACUGCUUUGGAAACUGUAUAGCUUGAGUGUCGGAGGGGUAAGCGGAAUUCCUAGUGUAGCGGUGAAAUGCGUAGAUAUUAGGAGGAACACCGGAGGCGAAGGCGGCUUACUGGACGACAACUGACGUUGAGGCUCGAAGGCGUGAGGAGCAAACAGG
RNAcentral lists this ribosomal RNA (748 nucleotides) under uncultured Lachnospiraceae bacterium. RNAcentral's name for it is "bacterial SSU rRNA". It matches the Rfam family "Bacterial small subunit ribosomal RNA", at positions 28 to 776 of the family's 1533-position model. The record is from RNAcentral. Lineage: Bacteria; Bacillati; Bacillota; Clostridia; Lachnospirales; Lachnospiraceae.